This 86-nucleotide ribosomal RNA is filed under the name Salmonella enterica subsp. enterica serovar Infantis. RNAcentral's name for it is "partial 16S ribosomal RNA". It matches the Rfam family "Bacterial small subunit ribosomal RNA", at positions 1 to 84 of the family's 1533-position model. Lineage: Bacteria; Pseudomonadati; Pseudomonadota; Gammaproteobacteria; Enterobacterales; Enterobacteriaceae. The record is from RNAcentral. RNAcentral also lists the same sequence under 11 other names.
UUAAAUUGAAGAGUUUGAUCAUGGCUCAGAUUGAACGCUGGCGGCAGGCCUAACACAUGCAAGUCGAACGGUAGCACAGAGAGCUU